RNAcentral lists this transfer RNA (78 nucleotides) under Acidimicrobiaceae bacterium. Its description in RNAcentral is "tRNA-Pro". It matches the Rfam family "tRNA". From Rfam's summary of the family: Transfer RNA (tRNA) molecules are approximately 80 nucleotides in length. Their secondary structure includes four short double-helical elements and three loops (D, anti-codon, and T loops). The record is from RNAcentral. Lineage: Bacteria; Bacillati; Actinomycetota; Acidimicrobiia; Acidimicrobiales; Acidimicrobiaceae.
CGGGCUGUGGCGCAGUUUGGUUAGCGCACUGGUCUGGGGGACCAGGGGUCGGAGGUUCAAAUCCUCUCAGCCCGACAA